AGCCUUCAUGUUGACAAUCCUUUCAAGUUUUCAGAGCUCAAGAUAGUUGCUGCUUCAUAUUUGUAAUCCUUGGUAAGAUCAGAGAUUCAUGUUCUUCUCAAAAAUUCAAUAAAAAAGAAUACACAUUUAUUUCAACCGUUGUUGCUUUUCUUUCUCUAAAUGUUCCUGUCUGUUGCAGGAUUGCGAAGUUUGCAAUUUUAUUUGGUCAACAAUGACUGAGGAGAAAAUUUAUGUUAUCCCAGAACAUGAUCCUACUCCAAUGAUCCCUGCGAGUGAUUCUUUACUGGUGAUUCAGGAGAGUGAUUCUAUCUCACUGAUCCCAGAGACCUAUUCUGCAUCUGUGGUUCCUGAAAGUGAUACCCCAGUUGUCUUGGAGGGUACUGAGCCCAAAGACGGUCAUGUCCAAAGGUACUCUGCUGGGAAUAUUGGUAUUCCCUACAAAAGUGUAAAGAUUCUUUCCCGUUAUCUUGCAGCUUCAACAGGUUCCUGCCAUGAUUAUUGUAAAUAUGGACAAAGACAAGACCUUGAGACGAAGACAACAAGCAAUUCUAUAUUGGAAACAAUAAUGGAAAGGCAAGGUGAAGGACAGGACAUGGGAAAGGUUCUAACUUCAGGAGAGAGAAAGAAGAAAUUAGCAGUCAAUUAUGUGUCUUCUCGUGGUUCCAGGAUCCAGAAUCCUGAUAUUCCUGUUAUCAGCAGGAAAGAAGUUUCUUCGUCAGGUAAGAAAGACACUGUCCUGUUAAAACAGCGUUCACUACCUGUCAAGGAAGUAGAUACAAGGUCAAGGCCUGUGCUACUAAAAUCACCUAGUCUCCCAAUAAAAGAGCACUUAAGCAGUAAAGAAUAUGGUGAAAUUCAAGAAAACAAAUCAUCGACUAAGAAAGAAACUGUCCUGUUAAAAAAGCGUUCACUAUCUGUCAAGGAAGUAGAUGCAAGGUUAAGGCCUAUGCUACCAAAAUCACCUAGUCUCCGAAUAAAAGAGCAUUUAAGUGGUAAAGAAUAUGGUGAAAUCCAAGAAAACAAAGAAAUGGGUACUUCUUUGGUGACUUCAUAUGGAGCUUCAAGUAGUACAGAACAAACAGAACUCGGAAGAGCUAAUGAAAUGAAGAACUCCGUAUUGGAUGGGAAAAAGGUUUUGGCACAAGCAACUGCUUCUUCUUUGUAUGCCUUGCAUUCUGUUAAGAAGGUUUUCACUCGACCAAUUGCUUCUUUGUCUCCCAAACGUUCUGAAAAGAGAGUUUCAAAUAUGAAUACUGAAAAAUUCAAGAGCCUGAAAGGAGUUUCUCAUUUGAAGGAUCGGAGUAAUGUUGGAAAAGCUGAAUCUGAGCAACCCAGCAAUGAGUCUGUGCCUGAGAAGACUUCGCAUGUAACUGAAUUGAAUACUGAGAAUAAAGCACUGACUCAACACAGUGAUCGUUCUCCAUCACUGUCCUCAUUCCAUAGGGACAAAAACUUGAAACAUGAUCAGAAAAGAAUUUCCCCAGUUCAAUUGUCUCUACCUUUUGCUGGGAAGAUUUUGAGACGCACUCAGUGUGGAAUCCAUGUCAGUCGAUCGCCUAAAUUUUCUGAGAGCAAAAGCUUGAGACUCAAUAAACGGGGAAUUCAUGUUGCUGGUUCAUCCAUUUCUUCUUUGUCAUCCUCCAAGUCUAACCAUGAUGGUACCUUCUCUGAAGAUCCUGAAACUAGCAUCGAUAAUAUAGUGAAUGCAAAAGUGGAACCGAGGAACAAACCUAGAAAUCGUGGAGUAGUUAAAACAAAAGAUACAGAUUCCCCAGCCAGAAAGCUAACUUUUAGGAAAGGAAAGGUACUUGAGCUUCCUCCUGUAAUUAGUUCUCCAAGGAGACUCAAAUUUAGGCGAAGAAACCUCAUUGAUAGCCAAAUUGGGAAAGUUGAGGCUACAGAAAGUACCAUUAAGAACACAGAAAUUUGUGUUGAUGAAGGCGACCCUAAUGUUGGAAAAUCGAAAAGCAAGAAAGUUGUUUUAAAACGCAAAGAUGUUAAAGGACAGAAAGUUGAGCAGAAUUUGUUGAAUGACAUGAUUGAGGAGACGGCAAAUAAGCUUGCUAAGAGCAGGAAGAGUAAGGUCAAGGCAUUGGUUGCUGCUUUUGAAACUGUGAUCUCUCUUCAAGAUCCCAGACUAUCAUCAACAGUUGGUGUAUGUUGAGUUACUGAGGUCUGUACUUGUAUUCAAUCAUAUACUAAUUCUAUAGAGGGAAAGAAAAGGGAACAUUGGAGUGGACAUGAAUGCAAA
Molecule: unclassified non-coding RNA, 2251 nt
Filed under: Hevea brasiliensis (rubber tree)
Lineage: Eukaryota; Viridiplantae; Streptophyta; Magnoliopsida; Malpighiales; Euphorbiaceae
Source: RNAcentral